UUAAAGCGGUACGCGAGCUGGGUUCAGAACGUCGUGAGACAGUUCGGUCUCCUAUCUGUCAUGGGCGUUGGAUGUUUGACCAGAGAUUCUUCUCUAGUACGAGAGGACCGAGAAGAACGAACCUCUAGUGUACGAGCUGUCUGACCACAGGCAUAAGCUCGGUAGCUACGUUCGGCCAGGAUAAACGCUGAAAGCAUCUAAGCGUGAAGCCUCCUCCAAGAUAAGACAUCAUAGAUUCCAAGGAGAUUACUUGGUUGAUAGGCUCCAGGUGUAAGGCCCGUAAGGGUUUCAGCCGAGGAGUACUAAUAAAUCGUUUCCCGAUUUA
Molecule: ribosomal RNA, 325 nt
Filed under: Patescibacteria group bacterium
Lineage: Bacteria
Description: partial 23S ribosomal RNA
Rfam family: Bacterial large subunit ribosomal RNA
Source: RNAcentral